GAACCUCUUGCUCCAUAUACUAAAAUUAGCUGACCGUUAUUUUCAUAUAUGAACCAAAGAGGUGUUUGUCUACAACGUACACAGUUACCAAGAUGCCUUCAGGUAGUCUGGGUUUCACUACAAUAGCUGUGAAGCACCUAUUAUAAACUAAGUACUCUUAUACAUGAAAAGUACACAAUUCCUACCCCAUAGAAAAUAGAGUAUAGACAGGGGCAGUAUAAGUAAACAAAACAAUGACAGGACAAUGCAAAGAGAGCAUCAGCAGCAAAAAGCUCUGUGCCAUCUGGGUAAGAGAUGAUACAGAAGGGGGAAUGGUUAACUUGUUCUAGAGGCAUCAGGAAAUGUUUCAAGCAAGAGAGAAAAUCCAGGAUGAUGUUCUCCUACAAGAAACCUAAAAAAAUCAAGGAAAGUAUAUUUCUUUAUAUUUAAACAUGCUUUUCUAACCCUGAGUUUUUCAUUUAAUGAGGAAUAUAUUAUAAAGAAGAGUGGUAAAUGUUACUGAGUUGUCCUUAACCUUCAAAAAAGUUUUAACUAUGUGCUGUAGAUAAAAACUAUAAUACUUAAGGAUCUAUAUCUUCUCACCAGAUUUUCCAAGUGUGUUAAUAAUAAAUCUACUCUGGAAAAAUAUUACCUAUGAUUAAACUACAUUCCCCGUUAUUGACCUUUACGACCUCAUGCUUCCUUUGCUAGGGUGCUAUAAUUACCUCAUAAAAGAAAGGGUAGAGUAACAGGACCCAUGAAGAUAAAAAACAUCCACUGAAUUUCCCUCACUCAAGCUAUCAUCUGGAAUCUCUGAGUCUCUCAACCUUUUUCUAAAGCUAUUAAUAUUAUUGCUGUGUUGACCUUUGCUGCUGUUUGCCAUUUUGAAAUUUACAGAUCAGCAAGCACCAGUAAAUCUUGUCAGAAUUAAUGCAAAUGUAAGACACAGUCAUUACAGGCUCCUCACGGUAAAGAAUAGCUUGCUACAAUGUUAUUACCGAGACACAAUUUAUCCUGAUUGCCAGAAAGAUGAGACACCCUGAAUAUAAGCAGUAAACUGGCUCUGAGAAAUAAAUCUCACUGGCAUUGCCCACACAGAAGUUUGCUCACGCGGAUGAAUGCUGUCAGUGCAGCGAGUGGCGGAGUGAUUGAUUCACUCCCGUACAUCUCCCAUCUCCCCCUGCUGGAGAAUGAAAGUUAAUUUGCUCUCAUUCAUUCUGUUCACCACACUAGAUGUUUUUAAGGGUUGAACUCAGAAAAUGAAGACAAGUAAAUAAUGGUUUCGAUGACUUUUUUUCCCGGCAGUGGAUGUGCCUUCAUAUUUCAACCCUGCACAUUUCUUUCAUAGGGUAGCUAUGAUUAAUAUACCAAUGAAUUCCAAGUCAAACAGGAAACAUUAUUUGCUCUGUUGGAUGAGCUUAUGUUUCUGAUAUAUAAAAAAGUGAUUCCAUAAAAGAAUUGAGGAUAUAUAGGUAGCAAAAUUCCAGUUCAUGACAAUUUCAUCUUCUCAGUGCAUUUUUAAAUCACUUUUUCUCUAUGAAAAAUUCUUGCAAUGAUAUUAAAGAACUAAGAAUUUUAAUGUAGUCUUCUUUAAAGAAUAGAGUGAAUGUUGGUGGCCAAAAGAAUGAGAGUUAUGAUCAACUCAGUAUACCACUGGAGGCUACAGGAGCAAACAGCAAACUGUUUCUCAUGAAAGCAGGAUGUUCAAAGCAGGAUGUUGGCAAAAUGACAAACUGCAUCUGCCACCCAGAAGGAAUGCUGAGGGCAGUCAUGCCCCAAGUGCAGUGUUUUUGUGAUUAGGCACAACUGAAGCUUGUUAGCAAUAAUAUGACCCUGUGAUUAAUUGAGCGGCUGACCAAUCAUUACCUCCUCCUCCCUGCUCUUUCUACCCAAUAAAUACAAAGGGCUGUGGAAGCUCAAUGGGCUGCCUUUGCUCAUUAGAAGCAGGGAGCUCUCUUCUUCUUCCCCUGGAUCCUUCCUUUAAAAUAGUUUCUUUUGUCUUAAGUUUUCAUUUCUACGUUUGUCCCUUCAUUCAGUCUCUUAAAUGACGGUCUCAAGCAGUAACAGUAGUAAUUGCUGUAAUGACGGUCUCAAGUAGUAACCAGGGCACUCUGCCACAAGUGGCACCUGAACAGGGACUAACAGGGACUAUCAAGAACAAACGGAGACCUGAAGAGACCUGAAGGGAACUGAAGAGGUCUGCAGGGACAAAUAGAGAUAAGUAGGGAUAAAUAGAGAUAAAUAGAGACAAAUAGAGAUAGGUAAGGAAUGACAGGGACUUGCAGGAAGUAACAGGGACCAUAGGGACAGAUAGGGAUAGAUAAAGACUAGCAAAGACUAGCCGAGAUUAGCAAAGACCAGCAAGGACUAGCAGAGACUAGCAAAGACUAGCAGAAACUUGCAGGGACAGGCAGAGACAGAUAGGGACAGAUAGGGUCCUACAGGGACUUGAACGAGGAAGAUCUGCUGGAAAAGAAAAGAACUACAACCAACCAGAUGAACAAGAAACCCUGUUACAAGUCUGCUGGCAGCAACAUAAGUGACACAAAGUGAACCGGGUUCUAUAAAUUACCAUGGAAAGUGGUGAGCCAACGAUUUGGCAGAACAAAACCCUGAGGAUAUGCAAACAAAAGGGACUAUGGAAUUUGCAAUUGCAGAUUAAAAUUGAAGAAGAAAACAUUUGAGUUGCAAAUACCGUAUUAAAAGUGGACACUGCUUAUGACUGCUGUAUGCAACAGUUUUUCAGGCCCGAGGUGAUAAAUAAAAAAUUGUUUGCUCUAUUUAACCAUUGAAUGCUUGGACUACUUUUGUAUCCUUAAGAUGUGAAGUGUUCUUCACUAGAAGUAAACAUUAAGGUCAUUUACCAUUGAUUGCUUAAGGAGGAACCCAGACAUGCUCUAUUUGCAAACCGACUGCAUGAAACAAAAAGCACGGUAAUUCUGAAGCUGUUGGCUUGGAUGAAAUGAGAAUGUAAUUAAAAAGAAAAAGGUUAGCAAAAGAACAUGCUGGGAAUUGAAAAUAAAAAUCUGAAAUGAUGUCCCAGCCUGCCCUUAAGGUCUUUUCCACCAUGUAGAGAGCUACCUCAAAUGCUCUACUUGUCCCAGAGUCUAUGUUCUUUCACUACUAUUGCCUAUAUCUGUGUUUUCUGCUUUCAAUAAUCUAUUGAAAUAAUCAAAAUUAAUUACAUUCAGCAUUUUUUCUGUAUUACUCUGAUUCUAAUAAUUACCUCAAAUUUAUUUGUGCAUUUCUAUACUAGAAAGAAAAAAUAAUUUUUAGAGUUUUACUAUAUCUUCCCCUUAAUUCUAAGUUGCUUGUCACUAAUUCCUUUCCCAACACUAUGUUAUUUCCACCAAGAACAUUACCAAUAUCUUCAGGAAAAUUCCACCCCAUAUUUUAAGCCAGAUUGAUUAUUGGGAAUAUAAAUACAUUUAAGAAGGAAAGUCUUUUUGACUGUGUUUCUCCACAGACCAAUAGUAUACAAAACACAGAAGGCUUUUAAGCACAUUUCAUAGGGAUCACUGACUUAGAACAGAAGGAACCAUUUCGUGAAACACUCUCAUUUUGCACAUAAAGGAGCUGUGGCCCACAGAGGAAUAUGAUUUACUGAGAGUGACCCAGUUAGUGGCCAUAAACCAAAAGCCCCAAGAUGCUAAAUGUUUGUUAUGAAGAGUAAAAAUCCUCCCAGUUUAUAAGAAGUAACUUCAUCCUUCCAUUUUCUAUUUCCACGAUGACUCCCCUGGCUUAAAUUUUAAUCUCUAUUUUGGAUGACUCCAAAAUCUCAUUCUUCUAAAUUAAUUAUCUAAUACCACAAUGUUGCACUUAUCUUCCUACAAAUCUACUUUCAUCUGCCUUGACAAAGCCAACCCUAAUUUUCUCUAGUCCUCAUUAGAAAUUAUUGCAACAAAAAUUCACAUCCAGUCUGAAGUUUGGGAGCCAGAAAAGAAUUUUCCCAUUAAGAUGAGACAGUAUCAAUUAUUAAGCAGAGGAAGACACAAGAGGGAAAGCAGCUUUCACAUGAAAAAAAAAGAACUCUGAUUUUCUGACACAUUUUGUCAUUGCAGUCAAACUUUCAGAGUUAGAACUAGAGACCUAGAUAUUAGCUAACCCAGCAUUUUCCAAGUAUUCCUCGGAACUCUAGAGGCACAGCAUAGUACUGGUAAUGAUUUUGUGGCAGGAUAGAUUAAGGAAACCUCACAGUUAUACCAAGUUAAAUUCAUUUAUUUCAUGUAAAAUUCUGAUAGCCUUUUAUGCUACUAGGCCUAGUGAUACUCCAAAAUUAUUGGCCAUAUAUCUGAAAUUUAUUUCAGCAAGAAACCCUUUAAAGAGCAUCCCGCAGAGUUAGUGUUUUGAGGGAUAUCAUUGGGGAAAAUGCUGAUCUAGACCAAUUCAACAAAUUGUAACUUAGUUAACACCAGAGUCAAAACAAAAACCAAGUCUACUCAUGUCUGUCUUAGGCCCUUUUGGUCACAAAAACACGUUCAAACCACUUCAAUUAAGAAAAUGGUGAGAGGGGAAAAGACAAGCAGGGAACCUUAUCCCAGGUGGGCUGAUCACAGGACUUCCAAGGCUGUCCCUUAGAAGAGUCACGAUAAUGGCAUCUCUAGCACAAAACUCAAAUUUAGUUUUAAUUCUUAGUCGAAUAAUAAUACAGUAAAAUUUAUUGCAUGCAUAAGGAUAAUACAUUAAAACUACUUAAAUUACAUUUUAGGGCCGGGCGCGGUGGCUCACGCCUGUAAUCCCAGCACUUUGGGAGGCCGAGGCGGGUGGAUCACGAGGUCAGGA
RNAcentral lists this long non-coding RNA (4761 nucleotides) under Homo sapiens (human). RNAcentral's name for it is "HSALNT0210350". Lineage: Eukaryota; Metazoa; Chordata; Mammalia; Primates; Hominidae. The record is from RNAcentral.